This 210-nucleotide long non-coding RNA is filed under the name Medicago truncatula (barrel medic). RNAcentral describes it as "long non-coding RNA (MTRU_LNC008271)". The record is from RNAcentral. Lineage: Eukaryota; Viridiplantae; Streptophyta; Magnoliopsida; Fabales; Fabaceae.
GGCUAUGUUUGGUUUUAGAGAAACUAUAAGGAAAGAAAGAGGAAGGAGAGAAAGGUUGAAGAAUAUUCUCUUUUCCAUUGUUUGGUUUGCCAACAAUAAGGUAAGGAAAGAAAGUUUUAUGCUGGAACCCACUCAAAAUGUAGUCACCCCUAAAUUGGAUGGAAAGUGAGAGGAAGCUUUGCUUUUGGAAUGAAAUGACAUAAAUACCCA